GAGAUUCGUGAUUUCCGUUGGUUCUGUAGUAUUUUGUGAACAGACUCCAAAAAAGUUUUACUUAAAAUAUUGCAGAUUUUGACUACAAGAGUGUACUCCCUCAAAUAAGCCCUCAAUAAUUAAAACAAAUGUACUAAAUUCCAAGUUCUUCCAUAAAACAAGUGUUUGUAUUUCAAUUCCCCACCUCCCGUCUAGAUCGGAUUACCGCACACCACCGAACAUCGCUUCACCUCGACCAAUUUAUGGCAUUACAUGCCUCAACUGAAUUAUUCAUUCAUUCACUUUUCUCCGUCAGCUUCAUUUGUUCACCUCGUUAAGAGAUCUUAAAUUGGCGUGGAAACUUACUUCCUUUUUUUGUCAGUAAAAACUCCAGCUGAUCUCCUUCCCACAGAAUAAAUGAAAUAUUGUGUGCCACGUCAUGAACGACCUUGUCGCUCAUCGUGCGUGAGGAAACAAAAGGUACUCUUCCCCCAUACUCAUAUCCAUCUUUCUUUUCUGCCCUUCCCCCAUGUCCACACUUUAAUUGGUAGGUGUUGAACAUGGUCACUGACCUAUACGCAUUUCACUAGCCUCACCGCUUCUCCCAUCAGCUUUGCUUUUAUUAUGAUUUGUUUGGAUCAAGAAUAUUGUUUUCUGCGAUUUGAAGUUUAUUCGCCUUUUUUGUUCUAUCUCCCCUCUCCUCCCAUUCUCCUAUGCACGAUUCAAUUUCGAAGGCCGCGAUUGAGUCUUCUUAAGUAAAUCUUUCUCUUUUCUCUCUCCAUCCAUACACCAGAUCCCCUUCCCCGUCAAGUACCUAUUCCUACGCACCAUUCUCCCUUUUUUUCUUUUUUUCAUAUCAAAAACCGUUCCCCCGUCUUAUUUUGGAACAGCAACACAACAAUAAUAAAUAUCUUCUCU
Molecule: non-coding RNA, 897 nt
Organism: Caenorhabditis elegans
Lineage: Eukaryota; Metazoa; Nematoda; Chromadorea; Rhabditida; Rhabditidae
Source: Ensembl